RNAcentral lists this ribosomal RNA (468 nucleotides) under uncultured bacterium. RNAcentral's name for it is "partial 16S ribosomal RNA". It matches the Rfam family "Bacterial small subunit ribosomal RNA", at positions 28 to 507 of the family's 1533-position model. The record is from RNAcentral.
GACGAACGCUGGCGGCGUGCUUAACACAUGCAAGUCGAACGGGAAGGCCCUGCUUUUGUGGGGUGCUCGAGUGGCGAACGGGUGAGUAACACGUGAGUAACCUGCCCUUGACUUUGGGAUAACUUCAGGAAACUGGGGCUAAUACCGGAUAGGAGCUCCUGCUGCAUGGUGGGGGUUGGAAAGUUUCGGCGGUUGGGGAUGGACUCGCGGCUUAUCAGCUUGUUGGUGGGGUAGUGGCUUACCAAGGCUUUGACGGGUAGCCGGCCUGAGAGGGUGACCGGCCACAUUGGGACUGAGAUACGGCCCAGACUCCUACGGGAGGCAGCAGUGGGGAAUAUUGCCCAAUGGGCGGAAGCCUGAUGCAGCAACGCCGCGUGCGGGAUGACGGCCUUCGGGUUGUAAACCGCUUUCGCCUGUGACGAAGCGUGAGUGACGGUAAUGGGUAAAGAAGCACCGGCUAACUACGUG